CUGGCCUUGAACUCACUCAGUAGCCUAGGCUAGCCUCAAACUUGUGAUUCUCCUGCCUCAGCCUCCCAAGUGCUAAAUUUACAGAUACAUGUCACGACACCACGCUCAAUCUUUUUUUAAAAAAAGUCUUUACUGGGCUCAAAUCUCUAUCCUGGAUGUGAUGCAGAUGUUGUUUUCAUUGUCAGCCAGGUUAAAAAUUUAACUCUAUGCAAUUUGGUAAUGAAAGAUUGUUGAUGCGUUUUUAAAAAGGACUAAGUAAGGAACUUAUUUUACACAGAGUUCAGGAAUUUUUUUUUUUUUUUUUGAUAAAUACAUAAACUAAAACCUCAAAGACAAAUACAAACCAACAAGCAAACAAAGGGCCAUGGGUAAGAAAGGUCAUGGUUCUGACAUAGAAUUGACAGCAUAAAGCAAACAAUGAGUCAGGUAAAACCUUGGUUUCUUGAAGGAAGUUGAAGCUCAGUGUGGCUAUAGCUAACUACCGAAGGGGGAAACCCAGGAACAAGACCUCUAAGAACCAUGGAAUUCAUUCUUCAACUUUGGGGAAUAUGAACUCAGUGACAUCUAGCAAGUUGAGAGCUCCAUUUUUCCCCUGUAUCAUUUUGGAGGACCCAGCAAGAUAAUGAGAAGGAGACUUUAGAACCACCUAGAACCGAUGAAAAAUCAAAUGCGCUUAAGUACUUCUUCACAGAGACGUUUUCUCUGCAGCGCGCUGGCAUCGCAGCGACAACUUGGGCAGCGGCCCCGACCCUCGGCCUCCAAACCCCGAGAGUCCACCCACCACCGGCGUCCCAGCGUCAAGUUCCCCACUAGUUCGGUUGCAGUCACCUCCACGUCGCAGCAACCCACACGCCGCCUCGGCGAUCUACAUCCAUCUUCAUUCACCACGCACACACAGUCGGGGUUAUCAGUCCCCGGACAACCAGGGGAUCCAGAAAGGGGCGAGCUGGCCAGAGGGAGGAGCGGACGCUCCUCCGUCCCGCCCGGCCCGGC
Molecule: long non-coding RNA, 993 nt
Organism: Chinchilla lanigera (long-tailed chinchilla)
Lineage: Eukaryota; Metazoa; Chordata; Mammalia; Rodentia; Chinchillidae
Exons: 3
Source: RefSeq, a predicted model, not a curated record